This 555-nucleotide ribosomal RNA is filed under the name uncultured archaeon. RNAcentral's name for it is "bacterial SSU rRNA". It matches the Rfam family "Archaeal small subunit ribosomal RNA", at positions 324 to 879 of the family's 1478-position model. The record is from RNAcentral.
UUCGGGGUGCAGCAGGCGCGAAAACUUUACAAUGCGGGAAACCGUGAUAAGGGGACACCGAGUGCCAGCAUCAUAUGCUGGCUGUCCAGGUGUGUAAAAUACACCUGUUAGCAAGGGCCGGGCAAGACCGGUGCCAGCCGCCGCGGUAACACCGGCGGCCCGAGUGGUGAUCGUGAUUAUUGGGUCUAAAGGGUCCGUAGCCGGUUUGGUCAGUCCUCCGGGAAAUCUGAUAGCUUAACUAUUAGGCUUUCGGAGGAUACUGCCAGACUUGGAACCGGGAGAGGUAAGAGGUACUACAGGGGUAGGAGUGAAAUCUUGUAAUCCCUGUGGGACCACCUGUGGCGAAGGCGUCUUACCAGAACGGGUUCGACGGUGAGGGACGAAAGCUGGGGGCACGAACCGGAUUAGAUACCCGGGUAGUCCCAGCCGUAAACGAUGCUCGCUAGGUGUCAGGCAUGGCGCGACCGUGUCUGGUGCCGCAGGGAAGCCGUGAAGCGAGCCACCUGGGAAGUACGGCCGCAAGGCUGAAACUUAAAGGAAUUGGCGGGGGAGCAC